AUUCUGCCCAUGCGGGGAAGGAUGAGAAGCUUCGACUAAGGUUCGGCUCGAGCGUCAGCGAGAGAGCGUUGCCGCAGGCAACGACCCGAAGGGCGAAG
This 98-nucleotide small RNA is filed under the name Escherichia coli. RNAcentral describes it as "RtT sRNA". It matches the Rfam family "RtT RNA", at positions 1 to 96 of the family's 130-position model. From Rfam's summary of the family: This family represents a bacterial cis-regulatory element known as RtT RNA. The exact function of RtT is unknown although it is thought that it may be involved in changing the cellular response in relation to amino acid starvation. Lineage: Bacteria; Pseudomonadati; Pseudomonadota; Gammaproteobacteria; Enterobacterales; Enterobacteriaceae. The record is from RNAcentral.